UACAGAGGGUGCAAGCGUUAAUCGGAAUUACUGGGCGUAAAGCGUGCGUAGGCGGUUUCGUAAGUCGGGUGUGAAAGCCCCGGGCUCAACCUGGGAAUUGCAUUCGAGACUGCGAGGCUAGGGUGCGGAAGAGGGAAGCGGAAUUUCCGGUGUAGCGGUGAAAUGCGUAGAUAUCGGAAGGAACAUCAGUGGCGAAAGCGGCUUCCUGGUCCAGCGCCGACGCUCAGGCACGAAAGCGUGGGGAGCAAACAGG
RNAcentral lists this ribosomal RNA (253 nucleotides) under uncultured bacterium. Its description in RNAcentral is "partial 16S ribosomal RNA". It matches the Rfam family "Bacterial small subunit ribosomal RNA", at positions 524 to 776 of the family's 1533-position model. The record is from RNAcentral.